UUUGGCUGCAUGAUCCCUAUAAUCGGAACCAACUUUUUAACCAGUUAGGGAAUUUCAUGAGUUCAGUUAUUUUAAAUUGUACUUACCAACUAUGUGAAGUUUUAGUAUUUUGGUAGGCAAAGAUUUCAUCCCAAGCCUUGAUAUAUUCAAAAUAAUGGUAGGAUCUCAUUUAAAUCCUCUAGUAUUUAACAUCAUUGGCUUUAAAGGAUCUAAUC
Molecule: long non-coding RNA, 215 nt
Filed under: Amborella trichopoda
Lineage: Eukaryota; Viridiplantae; Streptophyta; Magnoliopsida; Amborellales; Amborellaceae
Description: long non-coding RNA (ATRI_LNC002537)
Source: RNAcentral